GUGCCCUGGCAGGCAGGAGGGCCAACCAUGUCUUGGGGUGCAUCAGACAAAGCAUCCCCAGUAGGUCAAGGGAGGAGAUUGUCCUGCUCUGCUCUGUACUGGGGCGACCUCACCUCGAGUCCUGGGGGCAGUUUUGGUCACCACAAUAUAAGAAAGACACUGAGGAAAGGAGA
Long non-coding RNA from Empidonax traillii (willow flycatcher), 173 nucleotides. RefSeq lists it as uncharacterized. The transcript has 3 exons. The record is from RefSeq and is a predicted model, not a curated record. Lineage: Eukaryota; Metazoa; Chordata; Aves; Passeriformes; Tyrannidae.